RNAcentral lists this ribosomal RNA (253 nucleotides) under uncultured bacterium. RNAcentral describes it as "partial 16S ribosomal RNA". It matches the Rfam family "Bacterial small subunit ribosomal RNA", at positions 524 to 776 of the family's 1533-position model. The record is from RNAcentral.
UACGUAGGGUGCAAGCGUUAAUCGGAAUUACUGGGCGUAAAGCGUGCGCAGGCGGUUUUGUACGUCUGUCGUGAAAGCCCCGGGCUCAACCUGGGAAUUGCGAUGGAGACUGCAAGGCUUGAAUCUGGCAGAGGGGGGUAGAAUUCCACGUGUAGCAGUGAAAUGCGUAGAGAUGUGGAGGAACACCGAUGGCGAAGGCAGCCCCCUGGGUCAAGAUUGACGCUCAUGCACGAAAGCGUGGGGAGCAAACAGG